This 1526-nucleotide ribosomal RNA is filed under the name Triticum aestivum (bread wheat). RNAcentral describes it as "partial small subunit ribosomal RNA". Lineage: Eukaryota; Viridiplantae; Streptophyta; Magnoliopsida; Poales; Poaceae. The record is from RNAcentral.
ACCUCGAUCCACCUUCCGGCGAAACCAAUUCAUUGCUCGCUUUCGCAAGACUCUUUCUUUCUCCCCUUUCCUCUCCCCCCAACCCGUCCGUCGUCGCCUCCGCCCGAGGUAACCGCCAUAGCCGCGAGGAAUCAAGAACCUUGCCUGCCGCACGUCGUCCCUGAGGACCGAGAGGAGACGAUGGAGGGCGGCUGCGGCGUGGCCGGCGGGACGGAGGGCGGCGGCGGCAAGAAGCAGCAGCAGCAGGCGCGGCCGCAGUUCGGGCGGUCGCUGACGUACCACCACCACCAGGGGCACCGGCUGCUGCCCCGGUGGCGGCGGCCGCAGCUGGCGGACGAGCCCCGCGCGCGGCCGCAGGCGGUGGUGCUCUACACGACGUCGCUGCGCGGGGUGCGGCGCACCUUCGCGGACUGCUCCGCGGCGCGCGCCAUCCUGCGGGGGUCCCGCGUCGCCGUCGACGAGCGCGACGUGUCCAUGGACGCGGCGCUCCGCCGCGAGCUGCAGGCGCUGCUGGCCGCGCGGGGCCGCGCCUUCUCGCUCCCGCAGCUCUUCAUCGGGGGCCGGCUCGUCGGCGGCGCCGACGAGGUCCGGCAGCUGGACGAGUCCGGCCAGCUCCGGCGCCUCCUGGAGGGCGCCGCGGGGCAGGACCCGGCCUUCGUCUGCGACGCCUGCGGCGGGGUGCGCUUCGUCCCCUGCCCCGCCUGCGCCGGCAGCCGCAAGGUGUUCGACGAGGAGGAGGACCGCGCCCUCCGCUGCGGCGACUGCAACGAGAACGGGCUGGUGCGCUGCGCCAACUGCUCCUCCUGAUCCUUCCCCGCCGCUAAUUGAAUCCAAGGGUUAGAGUUGGUAGAUUCGUCGUCAGUCAGAUCAGAGAGGGGCGCAUUUUCGGUUUCUUGGGAGUUCUUGACUUAUGAUUUAUGUAUCCUGAAUCAAUCAAUCCGAUCGUUUGGGGAUCGGAUUGUUAGCUGCUCAUGGACGGAAGAGAACGAAUUGUUCUUGGCUCCUUUGCUGCGGGAAUCGCCGCCCGGUGGUGGUGAUUGGUGAUGAAUAAGAGCCGGUGCUUGUAUAUGUGUGUAAAAUCUGGCGCUGAGAUUAGCCUGAUUGGUUAAUGUGUAACGAAGAACUGAUGUAAAUACUUGAGCUCUGGGAGUGAUAAAUUAUUUUCUAGUUCCUUGAUUAUCCAUGGCUUUGGUCAAAUCUCUUCAUGGAUGUACUACAGUAGCAACACAGUUCGAUACCUCAUCAAGAACUGGCCCAACUGUACUAGCAGAAAGUCUUCAAGGCCGAAACUAGCUGUGAUCGACUGUACUACUCAGUCAGAAGCUGUACUCAUGCUGUUCUAUAGCUGUGUUCUAAAUUAGAGCCACCUCUUUUGUUCUUUAAUCAUGCAAGAUGUGUCAUUCCAUGGACGUACAGUUAUAUACAUCUUAAAACAAUGUGAUCGAUCGUCAUCCGGAAAUGAUCAUGAUCUGACUGUACUUACUAAAAGUCCUUAAUCAUGUUGCAUUCAAGUUGUUUUCCAAAAU